GGGGAAACCCAGGCUAAUACCGCAUACGUCCUACGGGAGAAAGGGGGCUCCGGCUCCCGCUAUGGGAUGAGCCUAUGUCGGAUUAGCUAGUUGGUGAGGUAACGGCUCACCAAGGCCACGAUCCGUAGCUGGUCUGAGAGGAUGAUCAGCCACAUCGGGACUGAGACACGGCCCGAACUCCUACGGGAGGCAGCAGUGGGGAAUAUUGGACAAUGGGGGCAACCCUGAUCCAGCCAUGCCGCGUGUGUGAAGAAGGCCCUCGGGUUGUAAAGCACUUUCAGCGAGGAAGAACGCCUAGCGGUUAAUACCCGCUAGGAAAGACAUCACUCGCAGAAGAAGCACCGGCUAACUCCGUGCCAGCAGCCGCGGUAAUACGGAGGGUGCAAGCGUUAAUCGGAAUUACUGGGCGUAAAGCGCGCGUAGGUGGCUUGAUAAGCCGGUUGUGAAAGCCCCGGGCUCAACCUGGGAACGGCAUCCGGAACUGUCAAGCUAGAGUGCAGGAGAGGAAGGUAGAAUUCCCGGUGUAGCGGUGAAAUGCGUAGAGAUCGGGAGGAAUACCAGUGGCGAAGGCGGCCUUCUGGACUGACACUGACACUGAGGUGCGAAAGCGUGGGUAGCAAACAGGAUUAGAUACCCUGGUAGUCCACGCCGUAAACGAUGUCGACCAGCCGUUGGGUGCCUAGCGCACUUUGUGGCGAAGUUAACGCGAUAAGUCGACCGCCUGGGGAGUACGGCCACAAGGUUAAAACUCAAAUGAAUUGACGGGGGCCCGCACAAGCGGUGGAGCAUGUGGUUUAAUUCGAUGCAACGCGAAGAACCUUACCUACUCUUGACAUCCUGCGAAUUUGGUAGAGAUACCUUAGUGCCUUCGGGAACGCAGAGACAGGUGCUGCAUGGCUGUCGUCAGCUCGUGUUGUGAAAUGUUGGGUUAAGUCCCGUAACGAGCGCAACCCUUGUCCUUAUUUGCCAGCGCGUAAUGGCGGGAACUCUAAGGAGACUGCCGGUGACAAACCGGAGGAAGGUGGGGACGACGUCAAGUCAUCAUGGCCCUUACGAGUAGGGCUACACACGUGCUACAAUGGUCGGUACAAAGGGUUGCCAACUCGCGAGAGUGAGCCAAUCCCGAAAAGCCGAUCUCAGUCCGGAUCGGAGUCUGCAACUCGACUCCGUGAAGUCGGAAUCGCUAGUAAUC
Molecule: ribosomal RNA, 1192 nt
Filed under: uncultured Halomonas sp.
Lineage: Bacteria; Pseudomonadati; Pseudomonadota; Gammaproteobacteria; Oceanospirillales; Halomonadaceae
Description: bacterial SSU rRNA
Rfam family: Bacterial small subunit ribosomal RNA
Source: RNAcentral